RNAcentral lists this unclassified non-coding RNA (315 nucleotides) under plant metagenome. RNAcentral describes it as "partial contains 5.8S ribosomal RNA, internal transcribed spacer 2, and large subunit ribosomal RNA". The stretch from base 1 to 105 matches the Rfam family "5.8S ribosomal RNA", at positions 50 to 154 of the family's 154-position model. The record is from RNAcentral.
GAACUGCGAUAAGUAAUGUGAAUUGCAGAAUUCAGUGAAUCAUCGAGUCUUUGAACGCACAUUGCGCCCCCUGGCAUUCCGGGGUGCAUGCCUGUCCGAGCGUCAUUGCUGCCCUUCAAGCCCGGCUUGUGUGUUGGGUCGUCGUCCCCUCCGGGGGACGGGCCCGAAAGGCAGCGGCGGCACCGCGUCCGGUCCUCGAGCGUAUGGGGCUUUGUCACCCGCUCGAUAAGGACCGGCCGGGCGCCAGCCGGCGUCUCCAACCUUUUUUUCUCAGGUUGACCUCGGAUCAGGUAGGGAUACCCGCUGAACUUAAGC